UCGCCCCUUAACCUAUAUUCCCCCUCUCACGUCGCAUUCCCUCUCUUCUCACCUCGUUCCUUCAAAGCGCAAUCCAUAGCAAGGGUUUCUCUCUCUCUCUCUCUGCAACUCUCGUUAAUCAUCCAUGGCCGACCGCACCGACUCCGAUUCCCGCCACCACCUCUCCGUCACGCCACCCCAGCAGAUCUCCAAAGAUGUUCUAGGGUCUGAAAAUACUAUUCCACUUUCACCACAGUGGCUUCUGCCAAAGUCAGGGGAGAGUAAGCCUGGAAUAGGGGUUCUGGAAAAUCAUUUCAGCCAGCAUCCAGCUUAUGGCAAUCGCUCAGAUAUUGUGAAGUCAUCUGGAAAUGGAGAUGAGAUCCAUGAAAUCCAUAAGAAAAAGGAUGUUUUCAGGACUUCCCUGCUUGAUAUGGAAGCUGGUCGUCGUGACCGCUGGCGUGAUGAAGAAAGGGACACUAAUUCCUCCAUGCGCAAAGAUCGUUGGAGGGAUGGAGACAAAGACCUUGGUGACAAUCGCAGGACAGACCGUUGGGUAGAAAAUUCAUCCUCUAGACACAUUGGAGAAGUGCGUCGUGUUUCGUCUGAGCGGUGGUCUGACUCAAGUAACAGGGACACUAAUUAUGAACAACGGCGCGAGAGCAAAUGGAACACGCGCUGGGGGCCAGAUGAUAAGGAAACUGAAGGCGUGCGCGAGAAGUGGACCGACUCUGGCAGAGAUGGUGAUGUGCAUCUUGAUAAGGGGUUGUCUCAUGUUGCCAAUCAAGGAAAGGAUGAGAGGGAGGGGGAUCAUUAUCGGCCAUGGAGACCUAGCUCCCUGCAAAGCCGAGGACGGGGAGAGCCUCAUCACCAAACUGUAAUGUCAGGCAAACAAGUUUCGACAUUUUCUUAUGGCCGUGGGCGUGGGGAAACUACACCUCCAACCUUUUCUCUAGGACGUGGACGGGUAAGCUAUGGUGGCGGCUCUUUGAGCAUGCAUUCUCUAGGAAGUGGGGGAGAUAGGGUUGAGAGUGGCCAUGGGGAGCCUUACCAUUUAAGAUAUAGUAGGACAAAGUUGCUUGAGGUAUACCGAUUGACUGAUACGAGUUCUUGUGAAAAAUUGGUUGAUGGGUUUUUGCAAGUUCAUUCUCUUACACAAGAUCAAUCAUUAGAGCCCUUGGCACUAUGGGCUCCAACUUCCGAAGAAACGGCUGUUAUGAAGGGAAUUGACAAAGGGGAUAUAGUAAGUAGUGGUGCACCACAGAUAUCUAAAGACGGAAGGACCUCAACAGAUGUUACACAGUCGAGGCGAACCAAGCCUGGCUCUAAGGAAAAUUUUCCGAAUGCUUUGGAUGAUUAUAAGGAGGAAAGUGCUGACAAUUCAAGAGGUGGUUCUGAGAAUAUUUCAGAAGGCCCUUCCUAUGAGAGGCACACACUCUAUCACGUGUCCAACUCGAAAACGGAAAUUUUGAGGGAUCAUAAGUCAUUCUCAGAUAACAAGUUUAGAGCCGAAGCUUCCAGAGAGUACGAUUCUUUUAGCAAGACUGAAGACGUGCCCAUUAAUAGGGAAUCAAGUCUCCCAGGAAAUCCGUCCAUUGCUGCCACUGCAUGGCAAUUUCCUUCCCAGGGAGAACGUUCACAUAACGUGUUGCAUGAUGGAAGGUCAAGGUCCUCGGAACUGGGCUGGUCAGAUCCACCGAAGGAACUAAAUAAUGAGCGGGAACGUAAAUUGGCUAACCUAUCAGAAAACAAAGACAAGAGUAAGUGGCAAACCAUUGAGGAUCCCAUUCUUCAGAGGCAACCAUCUGGAGUUAUGGAGAUGGAACAGGAAACCAGGAAAUCUCCACAGCCUUCUCCAGAGGACUUAACGAUGUUCUAUAAAGAUCCACAAGGAAGAAUUCAAGGCCCUUUUAUUGGGAGUGACAUUAUUUCAUGGUUUGAGGGUGGAUAUUUUGGCUUAGAUUUGCCAGUCUGCCCAAGUCCAAAUGACAUGCCUUGGUUGCCACUUGGUGAUGUUAUGCCCCAUUUACGAGCUAAAGCUGGGCCUCCACCUGGAUUUAAUUUACCAAAACAGAAUGAAUUUGCAGAUGCAUCUGGCCGGCCUAAUUUCGGUGGCUUUGGGAAGCUUCAAACUGGCUUAACCGAGCUUGAUGUUCUAAGGAGCGAACCCAGGCAGAGACAUGGUUCAAUGACAGAAGCCGAGAAUAGAUUUUUGGAGUCACUGAUGUCUGGUAAUAAUAUGAGCAGUUCAACACUGGAGAAGCUUGCUUCUUCUGAAGGUAUGCAAGGAUAUAUUGGAAGUAAUUCUAGUGUGAUGCCCCCGUCAGGAGUAGAUAGUGGAAACAACCUUUACCUACUGGCGAAGAGAAUGGCCCUUGAACAGCAGAGGUCCUUAUCCAAUCCUUAUCCAUAUUGGCCUGGAAGAGAUGCUGCAUCGUUGGUUUCAAAGUCUGAUAUUGUACCAGAUUCCACAGCUCCACAGUCAAAGCUUCUAUCUUCAAUAAAUGACAAUCCUUGUCAACCUCUUCAUUCUCAAAAUGCUGACUUCUUGUCCCUCCAAGGAAUAUCUGACAGGUCAACCUCUGGUGUAAAUAAUGGUCUUCCUGGUUGGUCAAACUUUCAAAUCCAAAGUGGAACAGAUCCACUUCAGAACAAGAUUGAUUUCCAUCAUGAUCCUAAUUUCCCUUCCCAAGCCCCAUUUGGGAUCCAACAACAGUGGCUGCAAUCACAAAACCAACCGCCUUUGACAAAUCCUGUUGCUCAAGCUAUAGAUAAUCCAUCUAGCAUUUUUACACCUGAAAAGUUAAUGUCAUCUGGCUUAGCACAAGAUCCACAAUUAUUAGAUAUGCUACAACAACAGUAUUUGUUGCAGUUACAUUCGCAGGCAGUUCAAACACAGCAGAUGUCAAUGUUUGAUAAACUCUUGUUGCUUAAGCAGCAACAGAAACAGGAGGAGCAGCAACAGUUAUUAAGGCAACAACAGCUGCUUUCUCAAAGGCUGUCAGAGCAUCAACCUCACCAGCGAUUUGGUGAUCCAUCUUUUGGACAGAUACAGGCAGCUGCAAUACCGUCAGGGAAUGCAUCUAUAGAUCCUCCUCGGCUUCAGCCCUCACAUGAGCUGUUUCAGAUUGGUUCACAGGUUCCAAUUCCCAUUAUGCAAGAUCAGCAUAAUACAAACUUUGUGAAAUUGCCCCCACAAGUUAACCAGGAUGUCAAUUAUAGUGUAUGUUCUGAAGCCUCUUUGUUGCAUCUGCCUCAACAAUUAUUUGGGAACAUCGCCCAUAAGGAAACUUGGGGUGCUACCGUUCCAGAAGAAACUGGCGAUACCCAUCAGAAAGAAUCAUCCCUGACACCAUCUUUUGCUGAAAACUCCCAUUUCGAGAUGAUGAACAGAGCUGUGGAGCUGCCUCAGCGUUUGCAGAAACCUGUCUCUGAUUCUGAAUUACAUUCUCCUAGAGAUGUGGAGCAGACAUCAGACAACAGUUUGAGGGCUGAUAGAACUGUUGUGGUUGCGACUGCUGAAAGUACUUUGGAAUCUAUGUCCAUUCCUGUUGAUUUGUUAUCAUUAGGAACAUGUAACAGUAAAGUGCCUGUGCCUGAGCAUUCCAGUGAUGUAAAGGCUCAACCUUGUGUUUUGCUCGAAGAACAGCAAGUUGAAAGCAAAAGGGGCACCAUUGAGCCCUCCAUGGUGACAGAAGUUAAGAACGUUGAAGUACAUGAACAAAGAAAAGCUUCUGAGAAGAAGCCCAAGAAGCAAAAAUCUUCUAAAUCACACACCUCUUCUGACCAGGCAAAAGAAGUACCUAAGGAUUCAUCUUUGCUGCAAUUAAAGAAAUCUGUAAUUGAAAAGCAGAGCAUUGAGACAGAUGUCAGUUCUGGAGAUGCACGAUAUGGAACCUCUUUGCAGAAGACAAGAGAUAACAGAGGCCAUAAAUCUGGAAUUACUACUACGGAACAUGUGGAGUCCCAACAGGUUCAAAGCUUUGUAUCUGCAAUAGCUUCAUCAGAUGACAUUGAAACUGUUGAAGUCAAGAGUGACUUGGGAGUACUUGGGUCAGUCUCAAUGCAGAAUAGCCAAACACAUACUGGACAACGAGCUUGGAAACCUGCUCCUGGUUUGAAGCCCAAGUCAUUGUUGGAAAUUCAACAGGAAGAACAAAGGAAGUCACAGACAGGAAUGGUGGUAUCUGAGAUCACCAGCUCUGUCAACUCCAUGAGUUUGUCAACUCCUUGGGCGGGAGUUGUGGCCAAUCCUGACUCAAAAAUAUCUAGGGAAACUCACAGAGAUGCAGGAAAUACUGAGUUAAGUCUAGGGAAACCUGUAGCUUCUGUGAUUCCAAAGAGCGAGAAGAGCCAUUUACAUGACCUAUUGGCAGAAGAAGUUUUGGAGAAGUCUAAUGAACGAGAUGGUGAUGUCCCUGACAGUAUAUCUAUUAGGGCAAACCCACAAGUUAUGACCACCCAUUCAGAAUCUAUAGAUGAUGAUAACUUUAUUGAGGCUAAAGACACAAAAAAGAGUCGAAAAAAAUCAGCAAAAGCCAAGGGUGCUGGAGCUAAGGUCUUGAUAUCCGUUACUUCUGCCGAGGCUUCUAUUGGUUUGAGUCCCAUUGAGAAAGGGAAAAGCUCUCGUCCUAUACAGCAAGAGAAGGAAGUGUUGCCUGCAAUUCCAUCUGGGCCUUCUCUUGGAGACUUUGUUCUUUGGAAGGGAGAGUCAGGUAACUCUUCCCCUUCUCCAGCAUGGUCUACUGAAUCAGGGAAGCUUCCGAAACCUACAUCUUUACGGGACAUAUUAAAGGAGCAGGAGAAAAAGGUAUCUGCCCACAAUCCAAACCAGAUUUCAACUCCUCCGAAACCCCAGCCAACUCAGGCUACCCGAACCAGUGGGCCUUCGUGGUCACUUUCUGCAUCUUCUCCUGCCAAGGCUUCAUCUCCAAUCCAGGUCAAUUCUCACCCGUCAAAAUAUAAAGGAGAUGAUGACCUAUUCUGGGGCCCAAUUGAUCAAUCAAAGCAAGAAACUAAGCAGGUGGAUUUCCAAUUCCCUCACCUUGCAAGCCAGGGCACUAGGAUAAUGAAAACCACUCCCGUCAAAGGAACUUCAUCUGGAUCAUUUGGCCGACAAAAAUCAGUUGGUGGCAAAUCUGCUGAGCGAUCUCUUUCAUCUUCACCUGCCUCUGCCCUGAAAGGGAAAAGAGAUUUCAUGACCAAUCAUUCAGAGGCCACAGACUUCAGAGAUUGGUGCCAGAGUGAGUGUCUCAGGCUUCUUGGGACCAAAGAUAUGAGUUUCCUUGAAUUUUGCUCGAAGCAGUCCAGAUCAGAGGCUGAGAUGUUUUUGAUAGAGAACCUUGGAUCAUAUGAUCCCGAUCACGAGUUCAUUGACAAAUUCCUCAACUACAAGGAGUUGUUACCAGCUGAUGUCCUUGAAAUUGCAUUUCAAAGUCGGAACGACAAGGUCACUGGAUUUGGUGCUGUAGAUGUGAAUUCUGGCAAUGCAGUUGCCGGGGACAUUGAUCGAGAUACUGCAGUGGGACCUGAUGGGUCCUCAAAAGGGGCAGGAAAGAAGGGGAAGAAAGGAAAGAAGGUUAGCCCUUCGGUUUUGGGAUUUAAUGUUGUCAGUAACCGGAUCAUGAUGGGUGAGAUUCAGACCCUUGAAGAUUAGGAGAGGUUGUAGAACUAGAGCCAGUUUGUAAAUACAUUUUGGCUUAGUGUUUGUAAAUGGUUCGCUUUAGGACUUUUGUUUCAAUUUCCCCUCUAUAGAGCCUAGCUUAGCUCUGCAGCAGCAGCAGCAGCAGCAGUUGUUCUCUAAUAUUAUCUGGCUCAAGCGUUUUUGUCCCAGCCUGAGUGAGGUGUAAUCUCAUUAUGUCAAGUUCUCCAAAAGAUGAAUCGAGGCCUGUGACACUUUCUCACAUAUGAUCGAUCAUUUAGGUUUUUCAACUUCUGGCUGACCAUCCAUCUUUUUUGGAAGUCGUCAACCAUGGCAGGUAUCCUAUGUUCUAGCUGUGCAUUAAACUGAAAAGCAAUUUUCUUUGGAUCACGUACUUUUGCAAACAGGAGUCUGAAGCAGUCAAGGAGGUUGCCAUAUUUUGUAGAGAUGAGAAAGGUUUCUUGAAACCAAAGUCUUGUCCAAUGACUACUGCUUGGGAAUCCUAAAUUCUUUUUCCAAACAUAAGGAGGUUUUACAGUAGGACCAUCUCAAAUUAUAAAUAAUGCUCAACCUCGUGUGACAAUUUCAUAUGUGACAAUUC
This is an RNA transcript of Juglans microcarpa x Juglans regia, 6218 nucleotides long. It is a transcript of the gene named protein ESSENTIAL FOR POTEXVIRUS ACCUMULATION 1-like, with no coding region annotated. NCBI's taxonomy places the organism in Eukaryota, Viridiplantae, Streptophyta, Magnoliopsida, Fagales, Juglandaceae. The transcript has 11 exons. The record is from RefSeq and is a predicted model, not a curated record.